This 294-nucleotide ribosomal RNA is filed under the name uncultured microorganism. Its description in RNAcentral is "partial 16S ribosomal RNA". It matches the Rfam family "Bacterial small subunit ribosomal RNA", at positions 505 to 796 of the family's 1533-position model. The record is from RNAcentral.
GUGCCAGCAGCCCCGGUAAUACUAAGGGGGCUAGCGAUGCUCGGAAUUACUGGGCGUAAAGGGCGCGUAAGCGGCGGCCCAAGUCAGGCGUGAAAUUCCUGGGCUCAACCUGGGGACUGCGCUUGAUACUGGGUUGCUUGAGGAUGGAAGAGGCUCGUGGAAUUCCCAGUGUAGAGGUGAAAUUCCUAGAUAUUGGGAAGAACCCCGGUGGCGAAGGCGGCGAGCUGGUCCCAUUACUGACGCUGAGGCGCGACAGCGUGGGGAGCCAAACAGGAUUAGAUACCCUGGUAGUCC